This 377-nucleotide long non-coding RNA is filed under the name Mytilus galloprovincialis (Mediterranean mussel). Lineage: Eukaryota; Metazoa; Mollusca; Bivalvia; Mytilida; Mytilidae. The record is from RNAcentral.
GGCGGAGGAAACCGUGUCUGUUGUUCGUUUAAUUUCUAGUUCUGUGGGAUAUAUUAAUGGAUCUUCAAUUGUAUUUUUUUUUUUUGUUUGAAAUUUACCUAUGACGUCAUUUUUGUGGCGUUUAUACCGUCGGGAGACAUACAGUUGGUGGUUCUGUUGCGCUUUUUGUAUGUGCUGUACUAGGCUCGUUUUGUAAUCUGUAGUUAGCAUGUUGAAAUAUACUAUUAUAUUGUGUAUUUGUAUAUUUCUCUUUCCUAGAUAUUCUUCCAUUUAUUUGUACUGUAUUCCUAGCAUGUACAGUUGUCACUUUAUAGUUAAAUUUAACAUUGCAAUUUUUUCUAUAAAUGUCCUGUACGAAGGCAGGAAAAUUGCAGUUG